Molecule: ribosomal RNA, 554 nt
Rfam family: Bacterial large subunit ribosomal RNA
CAGCCNGCCCGGUGACUCUGUUUAACGGCCGCGGUAUCCUAACCGUGCGAAGGUAGCGUAAUCACUUGUUCUUUAAAUGGGGACUAGUAUGAACGGCACCACGAGGAUUAUACUGUCUCCUUUCCACAAUCAGUGAAACUGAUCUUCCCGUGAAGAAGCGGGAAUAAGUAUAUAAGACGAGAAGACCCUAUGGAGCUUUAAACUAUACUACAUUUAUUUAUUCAUUAAGAAAUUUCAGAAAAUAAAAUUCUUUAAUAUCAUGAUUUUAAGUUUUCGGUUGGGGUGACCGCGGAGUAAAACACAACCUCCGCAUCGAAUAAGAUUGUUUCUUUAGCUAAAAAUAACAUCUUAAAGCAUCAAUAAAUUGACGUUAUUGACCCAAUAUUUUGAUCAACGAACCAAGUUACCCUAGGGAUAACAGCGCAAUCCACUUCAAGAGCUCAUAUCGACAAGUGGGUUUACGACCUCGAUGUUGGAUCAGGGUAUCCCAGUGGUGCAGCCGCUACUAAAGGUUCGUUUGUUCAACGAUGAAAACCCUACGUGAUCUGAGUUCA